Long non-coding RNA from Pieris brassicae (large cabbage white), 266 nucleotides. RefSeq lists it as uncharacterized. The transcript is spliced from 2 exons. The record is from RefSeq and is a predicted model, not a curated record. Lineage: Eukaryota; Metazoa; Arthropoda; Insecta; Lepidoptera; Pieridae.
AGACGUCAUGCAGCGAUUUUAGUUGAUUGGAGGUCGUACUGAUAGUCUCCCAGGGUUUCCUCGGGAGGUUUCUCCCGACUGGGAGUCCAUUCCACAGUUCGCUUGUGAAGCGGACUAUUAAGUUUCCAAGCCAAGUUGUUGCCUGCAAGAGAUCACAUAAAAGCUAAGCACUUCCUUUUUAUUUAAUAUUUUAAUUGUAUUUAUGUAUUAUUGCAAUGAAGUGAGUAAAUAAAUGUUUAUAUAAAUAAAAUAUGUGUAAACUUGUA